RNAcentral lists this small RNA (283 nucleotides) under Arabidopsis thaliana (thale cress). Its description in RNAcentral is "ATSL090050". The record is from RNAcentral. Lineage: Eukaryota; Viridiplantae; Streptophyta; Magnoliopsida; Brassicales; Brassicaceae.
UGAGCAUCCAUUUGUUAUCACUAUUGCAUCAUAUCACCACAGUUUUAUACCAUUUCUCAUCAUUUGUCAUCACUUUGCAUGUUUAGGAUAGUUUUGCAUGCAUGUUGCAUAUUUGUGUUGUUUUCAUCUGAUUUAGAGCUAUUGACGACCUAAUUAGAAGAAGCGAACCUGAUCAUAUCAAACCACUCGACCCCCUGGUCGAGUAGAUGUUUCACGACUUCAACAGACCACUCGACCCCCUGGUCGAGUAGAAGACCUCAUCACUUCACGUCACUACUCGACC